Long non-coding RNA from Peromyscus leucopus (white-footed mouse), 954 nucleotides. RefSeq lists it as uncharacterized. The record is from RefSeq and is a predicted model, not a curated record. Lineage: Eukaryota; Metazoa; Chordata; Mammalia; Rodentia; Cricetidae. The transcript is spliced from 2 exons.
GGCAGAAGACACCACUUCAUGGGCCACACCUCUCAUUCUUCAAGUCUGUCUGUAAUUUGGAUGACCAGUCUGCACUGAAGCUGAGCGGACCAACAGCACAGGAACUAGCCCCAAGUAUCAGCAGAUGGGAUGGCAUGAAGCAAUCAGCAGGACACACGGACAGCCCCCGGCACGGGAGAACAUCUGACCAGCCACUCUUCAGACAAGGGGCUGACAGCCAGCGUUUACAAGGGACUGCAGAAAUGAAACACCAAGGAAAUAAAACUGCUAGUCAAGGAAAUAAAACCUCUAGUCAACAAACAAAUAGGCAAAUGAACUGAAUAGACAGUUUAAAAAAAAACACAUGGCCAAUAACUAUUUUAAAAAGUGUUCGAUCGACCUACCCAUCAGGGAUAUGCAAAUUAAAACUACUUUGAGAUACCUCUUCACCCUGGCAGAAUGGCCAUCAUCAACAAAUGAAUGUGGCAACAAAUGCUGGAGAGGAUGUGGAGAGAAAGGAACCCUUAUUCACUGUUGGUGGUGAUGCAAAUUAAUACAGCUACUGUGGAAGUCGGUUUGGAGACUUCUCAAAAACUUAAAAAUAGAACUACCAUAUUUCCCUCCUGGGCACACCCCCAGAGAACGCCAUACCCAACCGUGGUUAUUUGCAGCCUAUGUUUAUCUAUGCUUAAUUCAUUAUAGCAAAAAAUUGGAAUCAGCCCAGUUGUCUACUGACAGAUGGAUGAGUAAUGAGAAUUUGGUAUAUGGAACUUACCUGUUGGGUAAUAGCCUCGUGAGGAAUUGAGUCAGGCUGCACUGGGCAAUAGCCCCGAGCCAUAAAGAAUUGCACCAGCUUGACUGUUCCACUCCACCUGCAGAAAGAUAAUGCCUGGGUAAGAUAAUGCCUGGGUGACAAAGCAAUUCAGCCUGCUUCCAGUCAAACCACAAAGAAAUAAACUAAAAUAAUAGCUGUAA